AUACGGAGGAUCCGAGCGUUAUCCGGAUUUAUUGGGUUUAAAGGGUGCGCAGGCGGCCAUUUAAGUCAGCGGUUAAAUCGUGGGGCUCAACCCCAUUCUGCCGUUGAUACUGGGUGGCUUGAUUGCGGUCGAGGUUGGCGGAAUUCGUUGUGUAGCGGUGAAAUGCAUAGAUAUGACGAAGAACACCGAUUGCGUAGGCAGCUGACCAGACCGCAAAUGACGCUCAUGCACGAAAGUGCGGGGGUCGAACAGGAUUAGAUUCCCUGGUAGUCCGCACAGUAAACGAUGAAUACUUGUUUUCGGCGAUAUAAUGUCGGAGGCAAAGCGAAAGCGAUGAGUGUUCAUCCUGGGUAGUGCGCCGUCACCGGUGAAACUCAAAGGAAUUGGCGGGG
This 392-nucleotide ribosomal RNA is filed under the name uncultured bacterium. RNAcentral describes it as "partial 16S ribosomal RNA". It matches the Rfam family "Bacterial small subunit ribosomal RNA", at positions 523 to 918 of the family's 1533-position model. The record is from RNAcentral.